UCGAUUUCAAAAAUCGUGAGGGUUCAAGUCCCUCUAUCCCCAAAAAGACCAUUUGACUCCCUAAUUAUUUAU
Molecule: transfer RNA, 72 nt
Filed under: Petasites tricholobus
Lineage: Eukaryota; Viridiplantae; Streptophyta; Magnoliopsida; Asterales; Asteraceae
Description: partial tRNA-Leu
Source: RNAcentral